AAGUGCGAAUGCUGACAUAAGUAACGAUAAAGCGGGUGAAAAGCCCGCUCGCCGGAAGACCAAGGGUUCCUGUCCAACGUUAAUCGGGGCAGGGUGAGUCGACCCCUAAGGCGAGGCCGAAAGGCGUAGUCGAUGGGAAACGGGUUAAUAUUCCCGUACUUGGUGUUACUGCGAAGGGGGGACGGAGAAGGCUAUGUUGGCCGGGCGACGGUUGUCCCGGUUUAAGCGUGUAGGUGUGUGUUCCAGGUAAAUCCGGUUCACUUUAACACUGAGGCGUGACGACGAGGCACUACGGUGCUGAAGCAACAAAUGCCCUGCUUCCAGGAAAAGCCUCUAAGCAUCAGGUAACAUCAAAUCGUACCCCAAACCGACACAGGUGGUCAGGUAGAGAAUACCAAGGCGCUUGAGAGAACUCGGGUGAAGGAACUAGGCAAAAUGGUGCCGUAACUUCGGGAGAAGGCACGCUGACACGUAGGUGAAGUGAUUUACUCAUGGAGCUGAAGUCAGUCGAAGAUACCAGCUGGCUGCAACUGUUUAUUAAAAACACAGCACUGUGCAAACACGAAAGUGGACGUAUACGGUGUGACGCCUGCCCGGUGCCGGAAGGUUAAUUGAUGGGGUCAGCGCAAGCGAAGCUCCUGAUCGAAGCCCCGGUAAACGGCGGCCGUAACUAUAACGGUCCUAAGGUAGCGAAAUUCCUUGUCGGGUAAGUUCCGACCUGCACGAAUGGCGUAAUGAUGGCCAGGCUGUCUCCACCCGAGACUCAGUGAAAUUGAACUCGCUGUGAAGAUGCAGUGUACCCGCGGCAAGACGGAAAGACCCCGUGAACCUUUACUAUAGCUUGACACUGAACAUUGAGCCUUGAUGUGUAGGAUAGGUGGGAGGCUUUGAAGCGUGGACGCCAGUCUGCGUGGAGCCGACCUUGAAAUACCACCCUUUAAUGUUUGAUGUUCUAACGUGGACCCGUUACCCGGGUUGCGGACAGUGUCUGGUGGGUAGUUUGACUGGGGCGGUCUCCUCCUAAAGAGUAACGGAGGAGCACGAAGGUUGGCUAAUCCUGGUCGGACAUCAGGAGGUUAGUGCAAUGGCAUAAGCCAGCUUGACUGCGAGCGUGACGGCGCGAGCAGGUGCGAAAGCAGGUCAUAGUGAUCCGGUGGUUCUGAAUGGAAGGGCCAUCGCUCAACGGAUAAAAGGUACUCCGGGGAUAACAGGCUGAUACCGCCCAAGAGUUCAUAUCGACGGCGGUGUUUGGCACCUCGAUGUCGGCUCAUCACAUCCUGGGGCUGAAGUAGGUCCCAAGGGUAUGGCUGUUCGCCAUUUAAAGUGGUACGCGAGCUGGGUUUAGAACGUCGUGAGACAGUUCGGUCCCUAUCUGCCGUGGGCGCUGGAGAACUGAGGGGGGCUGCUCCUAGUACGAGAGGACCGGAGUGGACGCAUCACUGGUGUUCGGGUUGUCAUGCCAAUGGCACUGCCCGGUAGCUAAAUGCGGAAGAGAUAAGUGCUGAAAGCAUCUAAGCACGAAACUUGCCCCGAGAUGAGUUCUCCCUGAGACUUAGAGUCU
This 1561-nucleotide ribosomal RNA is filed under the name Salmonella enterica subsp. enterica serovar Oslo. RNAcentral's name for it is "partial 23S ribosomal RNA". It matches the Rfam family "Bacterial large subunit ribosomal RNA", at positions 1286 to 2826 of the family's 2925-position model. Lineage: Bacteria; Pseudomonadati; Pseudomonadota; Gammaproteobacteria; Enterobacterales; Enterobacteriaceae. The record is from RNAcentral.